RNAcentral lists this ribosomal RNA (498 nucleotides) under uncultured bacterium. RNAcentral describes it as "partial 16S ribosomal RNA". It matches the Rfam family "Bacterial small subunit ribosomal RNA", at positions 28 to 507 of the family's 1533-position model. The record is from RNAcentral.
GACGAACGCUGGCGGCGUGCCUAAUACAUGCAAGUCGAACGAGAGCGACCGGUGCUUGCACUGGUCAAUCUAGUGGCGCACGGGUGUGUAACACGUGGGUAACCUGCUCAUCAGAGGGGUAUAACAUCCGGAAACGGAUGCUAACACCGCAUAGGUCUUCGAACCGCAUGGUUUGAAGAGGAAAAGCGGCGCAAGCUUAUGCAGUUGGAUGGACCCGCGUUGCAUUAGCUAGUUGGUGAGGUAACGGCUUACCAAGGCCGUGAUGCAUAGCCGACGUGAGAGGGGGAUCGGCCACAUUGGGACUGGGACACGGCCCUAACUCCUGCGGGAGGCAGCAGUAGGGAACCGUCCGCAAUGGACGCAAGUCUGACGGAGCAACGCCGCGUGAGUGAAGAAGGUGUUGGGAUCGUAAAACUCUGUUGUUAGUGAAGAACAAGUGCUAGAGUAACUGUUAGCGCCUUGACGGUAACUAACCAGAAAGCCACGGCUAACUACGUG